RNAcentral lists this ribosomal RNA (495 nucleotides) under uncultured bacterium. Its description in RNAcentral is "partial 16S ribosomal RNA". It matches the Rfam family "Bacterial small subunit ribosomal RNA", at positions 28 to 505 of the family's 1533-position model. The record is from RNAcentral.
GAUGAACGCUGGCGGCGUGCCUAAUACAUGCAAGUCGAGCGAACAGACGAGGAGCUUGCUCCUCUGACGUUAGCGGCGGACGGGUGAGUAACACGUGGAUAACCUACCUAUAAGACUGGGAUAACUUCGGGAAACCGGAGCUAAUACCGGAUAAUAUAUUGAACCGCAUGGUUCAAUAGUGAAAGACGGUUUUGCUGUCACUUAUAGAUGGAUCCGCGCCGCAUUAGCUAGUUGGUAAGGUAACGGCUUACCAAGGCAACGAUGCGUAGCCGACCUGAGAGGGUGAUCGGCCACACUGGAACUGAGACACGGUCCAGACUCCUACGGGAGGCAGCAGUAGGGAAUCUUCCGCAAUGGGCGAAAGCCUGACGGAGCAACGCCGCGUGAGUGAUGAAGGUCUUAGGAUCGUAAAACUCUGUUAUUAGGGAAGAACAAAUGUGUAAGUAACUAUGCACGUCUUGACGGUACCUAAUCAGAAAGCCACGGCUAACUACG